CUGGGAAGUCAUGAAUAAGAGCCUUCUGAAGCCUACACGUCAGAUCUUCCUCAAUUAAUCUACCAUUAGCAUGUUUGGGAUCCAGCGCUUGAUGGCUUAACAGCGACUCGGGUAGCUGUGUGCUGGCCACCCCCAAUUAAGCUCUGUUCAGAAUGAACUCGGCAAGACCAGCCUUUCCUGAGCUGUCAGUGACUCCCGUUUUUCCUUAUUUUAACGUUUGUGUGUAGUGGCAGGCGACAGAUGGUGUGGAUCAGAUCGAUUUGAUUGCAUUAGGCGGUUUUUUUCGCCCCUCUCUCUCUCUCUCUCCCUCCUCUCCUCUCCCUCCCUCCCACCCCCACCAUCCCUUCUUUUCUGGAAGCCCGCAGCAUCUGAAAGGCGAUCGCCGGGGACUUGGAGAGCACCAGCAUCCGCCGAGGUGGGAAAGCAGCGGAGCACACACAAAGCCAGCUAGAGGCGCCGAAGUUCCGUUCCCAGGGCUUGUUAACACUAUAAUCCGGCACCAGGAGGGGAGAAGGGGGCAAAAAAGCUGCUUUCCGCUGACCAGAGCCUGUUUCCCUAGCUCAUCAGAUGACUCUCUGGGUUUUACACACAGUUGGAGUUCGGCUUGAAACCGGGAUUUAAAGGGAAUCCGCGUCGGCUUCGGCCAAGAGCUAUUCAAGCAACCCCCUCCCUACCCCGGAAAACUCCGAGAGGGACGGGACCGCCAGCGAGCCCCACAAGAAGAAAGCGGGAGCUGGCCAUGGUACGCUCAGCCAUCGCUGGCCUGGGCGGAGAAGGCGAUGACAGGACGGAGCAAUGAAUGGCUGUGCUUGGAGGCCCUUGGGAGUCCAGCUUGGAUUUGGGACCCACCGCUGCUGGCCGGGCGACUCCUCUCUUGGAUUCUGCUUUCCUCCGGGACGUACAGUUGUGGAUUUAUUGGCGCGGGGAGCGCAGGCUCCAACACACCCUCUUCGCCUCGACCUGCAGCCAACGGCACCGGCACCAACUUUCUGACUCUCUUCGGUGACGGGUAUUCUUGGGUGGAUAAUACGGAUUACGUUGUUAUUGCUUAAGAAUACGCGUAGUCGAGGAGAGUUCUUGCGGCAAGCGGGUGGGCAGCCAUGACCCUCCCCGUUGGCUUCUUAACCGGCUCUAGUUGCCAAGGUGAGGUGGUGGAUGUUCUGAAUCCUUGCUGGAGACGGUAAAUGGCUCGAUGGGGACCAACAAAUCCGAAGCUCAGUCCAGAUAAGAUAGUGGUCCUGUUGGUCAACAAACAGGGCCAAUCAGGAGUUGAGGAUUUGGUCUGUUCAGGAUGUGGGUUGCACUCCACCCAAAGGAGCAGGUUUGCAGCUUGGGGCUGUAAGACUCAUAUCCAGUUUAUCUGUAGCACCUUCCAUCGCCUUUGCUAUGUCCUUAUCUUGAGUGGUGUGAUUUGGCCACAUUUUUCCUUACACUGAUCAAAACCAGUUUGGAGUAUGCAUGGCUUGCCUUCAAGACCAUUUGGAAGCUACAACUGAUACAAAAUCGCAGCAAGAUUGCUUACUGGGGUAGUUAAUAUAGAACAUAUUAUAUAUAUAUUGUGAAACAAUGUAAUAAUGGGCUGCCAAUUUGCAUCUGAAAACGAAUUCAAAAUGCUGACUUUUGUCGUUAAAGUCCUAAAUGGCUUGGAAUCAGGAUAUCUGAAUGUUGUCCUGCUUCCAUAUUCACCCGUUUAUCAGUUAAGAUCUGUCUCAUAGGUCCUGCUUGUUCCAUCUGUGAUGGAAACAAGGCUUGAUGUUACAUGAAGUAGGGCUUUCUCCGUUAUGGCACCCCAACAUCGGAAUGCCCCCCUGUAAUGAGCCUGACGUUAGAUUUGAUGAGCUUUUAAGUCUUUUUUCCCCCUUUCUGUUCCUCAAGGGAUUUUUAGUGAAUGAUUGGGCUUGAUUUAAUUGUGCUGUGUUAUUUCGAGGCUUGUUGCCCAUUUGAGUAAGAAAAACACCAUUUUUUACUCUUCUGUUCUAACUAUGCCAAAUCUUGCCACUGUUUUGUGUACUUAUACGAUUGCACGGUUUAUCUUAGCUGUUUAUAUUUUACAACAGCUAUGUUCCUGGGUGAUCUUGUUGUGGGAUGGAUUUUUUUGAUACACUGUAUAUUUUAUUGGAUAUAUUGUGAGGUUCCCAAGAGUCAUUGUGCUGAGGGGCAAGAUACAUUUUAAAAAAUAAACCCAUAAAUAAUAAAGUUAA
This is a long non-coding RNA of Sphaerodactylus townsendi, 2201 nucleotides long. RefSeq lists it as uncharacterized. The record is from RefSeq and is a predicted model, not a curated record. The transcript has 4 exons. NCBI's taxonomy places the organism in Eukaryota, Metazoa, Chordata, Lepidosauria, Squamata, Sphaerodactylidae.